AAAAAUGAUUCCUUUAUUUAUUCAGUAAGUUCAGGUCUAACAGCAGACGAACGCGUGAACACCGAGGAGUAUACAUUAAACAAAUUUGAAACUAUGAAGUUGAACUAUUCUGAACUAGAAUUCAAAUGGCUUAGCAAAUUGAUGGAAUUCAACGUCAGAGAAAGUAAGGACCUUAUUUGGGAUUGUAUUCAAAGAGCCUCCAAAACGAACCAAGAAUAAAGCAAUGAGUUGUAUAUUCAAUCCUUUGGAUAGGACUACAAAUAGUUUUUCAAUUCAUCGAAAGAUAAGUGCCUAAGCAAACAUUUACUAUAGACAUAUAUUUGUAAUAACCAG
Molecule: long non-coding RNA, 333 nt
Filed under: Mytilus galloprovincialis (Mediterranean mussel)
Lineage: Eukaryota; Metazoa; Mollusca; Bivalvia; Mytilida; Mytilidae
Source: RNAcentral